Molecule: unclassified non-coding RNA, 309 nt
Filed under: plant metagenome
Description: partial contains 5.8S ribosomal RNA, internal transcribed spacer 2, and large subunit ribosomal RNA
Rfam family: 5.8S ribosomal RNA (bases 1-105)
Source: RNAcentral
GAAAUGCGAUAAGUAAUGUGAAUUGCAGAAUUCAGUGAAUCAUCGAAUCUUUGAACGCACAUUGCGCCCGCCAGUAUUCUGGCGGGCAUGCCUGUUCGAGCGUCAUUUCAACCAUCAAGCCCCCGGGCUUGUGUUGGGGACCUGCGGCUGCCGCAGGCCCCGAAAACCAUUGGCGGGCUCGCUGUCACACCGGGCGUAGUAGAUUUUUCGUCUCGCCCAGGGCGUGCUGCGGGUUCCGGCCGUUAAAAAGCCUCUCUUUUAACCCAAGGUUGACCUCGGAUCAGGUAGGAAGACCCGCUGAACUUAAGC